GAGCCAAUGGAGAAGUUCCUGAUGCCCACACCUGCUGGUCUCACCGCUAGGGCCUGGGCAUCACAGGCAGGGGGAAUGGGGAGGGGACGGUAGCGUCAGCCUACACCCACACGCAGUUUCCUGAUAAAAGGUCCUUUGGAAACUUUGAUUCUCUUCUCACCAAGUUGAACGGAGAUGUGUUCCCAUAGUAAGAGUGAGGCCCCUGCAUUUGCUGCCCUCGGUUUUCCCAACUAACACCAGGGCCUCCCCCCUGUACCCCAUUCAUAUGCCUCAGAAGCUGACAAUGACUGUUGGGCUUUUCCAAUGAAUACCAGAACACCAUUUCCUGCAGCCUGAAAAGAAGACAGUAUAAUUGUUUGGCAGCAAGAGAAUCCAGGUGCCCUUCCAUGAGAAGCCCAAGCCAUGUGGAGAAGCCACGUCUAGGGACUCCAGUUAACACUCUCAGCUGAGUCCCCAGCUGACAGUCAGCAUCAACUGCCAGCCACCUCUGUCUAAAAGUGGGCUAUCUUGGGCAUCCAGCCCAGUCAAGCCUUCAGAUGAGUCCAGUCCCAGCCACUAUCUCACACAACCACACGAGAGACAUCAAGAACUCCCAGUGGAGUCCAGUCAGCCCAUGGAACUGCAAGAGACAGGAUCUCGCUGCGUUGCUCAGACUGGUCUCGAACUCCUGGGCUUAAGGGAUUCUCCUGCCUCAAUCACAGCCUCCCAAGUAGCUGAGAUUAAAAGUGCUCACCACCGUGCCAGCGAGUUCAGUUUUUGAGAUCUGUCCCAUUCCACCAAGGAUUUAAGGCUAAAGAUUUAAGUUGUGAAGAUGAUAAUGGAUUGACUCUAUGAAUGGCCACAUUUUUUUAUGCCUCCCUUUUCCCUUGUCCUCGGGCAGUGUCCUCCGACACUGACUCUGUGCUUGGCCCUGUGACUUGCUUUGGCCAAUGGUACAGCAGCAAACUUGAUGCAAACACAACUUGAAAAAGAAGAGGACAGCCAAGUCAUCCCAGCCAAGGCCACCCUGGACCAGCCAGCCUCUUGCCAAGCUGCCAGUGACCACAGAGUCCAAUUAACAACAGCCAGUCCUGGCCCAGGUCAGCACACCCAUGAGAAAGAACUUGCUAUCAUUUAAAGCCAUGGGUUUGGGGGUGGUUUGUUGCACAGCAAUAACUAACUAAUACAGAAACUUACAUUCUACAAAAAUGCUAUUAAUCAACAAGCAUAUUAAGAUGCAAUCUCGGCCUGGUGCAGUGGCUCACACCUGUAAACCCAGUACUUUGGGAGUCGGAGGCGGGUGGAUCACCUGAUGUCAGGAGUUCGAGACCAGCCUGGCCAACAUGGCAAAACCCGGUCUCUACUAAAAAUACAAAAAUUAGCUGCACAUGGUGGUGGCCGCCUGUAAUCCCAGCUACUCGGGAGGCUGGGGUAGGAGAAUUGCUGGAACCCAAGAAGCGGAGGUUACAGUGAGUCGAGAUCACGCCAUUGCACUCCAGCCUGGGUGACAAGAGUGAAACUCCAUCUAAGGAAAAAAAAAA
Molecule: long non-coding RNA, 1520 nt
Organism: Homo sapiens (human)
Lineage: Eukaryota; Metazoa; Chordata; Mammalia; Primates; Hominidae
Source: Ensembl